CAGCCGCCGCGGUAAUACGUAGGGUGCAAGCGUUAUCCGGAAUUAUUGGGCGUAAAGAGCUCGUAGGCGGUUUGUCGCGUCUGCUGUGAAAACUGGAGGCUCAACCUCCAGCCUGCAGUGGGUACGGGCAGACUAGAGUGCGGUAGGGGAGAUUGGAAUUCCUGGUGUAGCGGUGGAAUGCGCAGAUAUCAGGAGGAACACCGAUGGCGAAGGCAGAUCUCUGGGCCGUAACUGACGCUGAGGGGCGAAAGCAUGGGGAGCGAACAGGAUUAGAUACCCCGGUAGUCCCUGUCUCUUAUAC
RNAcentral lists this ribosomal RNA (301 nucleotides) under uncultured bacterium. Its description in RNAcentral is "partial 16S ribosomal RNA". It matches the Rfam family "Bacterial small subunit ribosomal RNA", at positions 509 to 807 of the family's 1533-position model. The record is from RNAcentral.